AAGAAAUCCUCUUAUUAAUAUUGGCCGCUGAGCCAUUUUUUCAGUGUCUGCCUAAAACCUCCUAAACUUUUGACCGUCUUUAGAUUUCCUGGCAACCUGUUCAACAGGCUUGUUGCUACAUACAAAAAGGACUCCUUACCUAAAUUACUCUUAACUCUAGGAGUUACAAAAUCAGUAGUGCUUCCCGUGGUGGAGUGGCUGUGAACAUCU
Etheostoma spectabile (orangethroat darter) is the source of this 210-nucleotide long non-coding RNA. RefSeq lists it as uncharacterized. Lineage: Eukaryota; Metazoa; Chordata; Actinopteri; Perciformes; Percidae. The transcript is spliced from 3 exons. The record is from RefSeq and is a predicted model, not a curated record.